RNAcentral lists this long non-coding RNA (1475 nucleotides) under Mus musculus (house mouse). RNAcentral describes it as "long non-coding RNA chr2:54284114-54285589". The record is from RNAcentral. Lineage: Eukaryota; Metazoa; Chordata; Mammalia; Rodentia; Muridae.
CUACUUACUUUCCCAAAUAAGCAUAAGAAGAAAAAAGACCAAAAGCCAUUACAAGAAGAUGUAGCUGAAAUUCAACAUGCUGAAGAAUUUCUUAUUAAACCAGAAUUCAAAGUGGCUUAAUUGGACCCUUCUCAAUGGCCCUUAUUACUAAAGAAUUUUGAUAAGUUAAUGUAAGGACAAUGCAUUACACACUUAUUCCUUGUGGCUCAAAUCCUCUAAAGAGGGAAAGCCACAGGUUUCUUUAAUCUUGACAAGCCCUCUAACCCCUCCUUCCAUGAUGUAGUAGCCUGGAUCCGAUGAAUUCUUUGGGUAAAGAGGACGACAGGCCACAGUGGCACACUGAAUCCCAAAGUGACUGGUUGUUUAAUUGUGUGCACUGAACAAGCCAUUCACUUGGUGAAAUCACAACAGUGUACAGGCAAAGAAUAUGUUGGAAUUGUCCUGCUAUUGAAGUGGAUACUCAGCUUUCUCAGGCCCUAGACUGACAGGUGCCCUGUUACAAUAACCCCACUUACUGCUGCUAUAAAGAGACAGCUAUCUAUGAGAUCAAAAUGGUGGAAUAUGAACCUGAAAGAAGAUUUGGAAUCUUUUGGGUGCUCUGUAAAGCUGGCACCUACAUUCAAAUGCUAUGUUUAUACCUUGUCUUGUUACUGGAAAUCAAUGGUCAGAUACAGGAACUUUGGAGAGUGUGUUCUGGAGUCCUGAGUGAAAAGGACCACAUGGUGACAAUGUGUGAUGUACUUGAUACUCAGUGGCUGUAUGAUAACCAACAGGAACAGAAUUACUUUCAGGGAGUAUUGUGUACCCAUUGGAAAAGCCAUUGAUAUCUCAUAAAUGUUUGGUUAUGAAAUACAGUGCAGUGAAUGCAAUCUGCUAUGGGACCAAGAUCAUGCAUCCUUGUGUUUUUCAAGAUGAGUUCAUGGCAUUGAGGUCAACCAGAAGGUUGUGGUCACUACCACUUAGGGGAAGGUAUCUGCAGGGCUACUAUAUUGAUGACUACAGUAGUGAUUUCUACCUGUGAUCAUGGUAUAGUAGCUAGGAUUAAAAAGGGGUGAUUAUGGAAAGAGAUCCUUAUCUUCACAAGUGGAGUUUAGGUCCAAAGACAACUCAGAGGAUGGUGAUCAAGCAGGCCUUCCUGGACAAGCAUGGCAAACCCACAGACAAUAUCCUUGUCACCUGGAAGCAGGAGUGCAUUGACUAUUGUAAUUCUGGCAAGAAAGCACUGGUUACUGAAGUGGUACAAGCCCCUCAGCAGCUGAAGCAGUAAAAUCCAUAUAAAGGAAGCAGGAUAGUGAGAGUGGAAGUGAUAAGACCCCAGCAGGACUUUCCCAGUUGAAAAACAGAAGAAUAAGGAGGAUUAAAAUGCCCAAAACUCUGUUAGAACGUGGGAGCAAGGCUGGAGAUGGGGGCAGUGACACACUACCAAAAAGAAAAAGUAGAAGAAACUAAAAGUGCUGGAAGAGAUGUCUGAAUAG